This 460-nucleotide ribosomal RNA is filed under the name uncultured bacterium. Its description in RNAcentral is "partial 16S ribosomal RNA". It matches the Rfam family "Bacterial small subunit ribosomal RNA", at positions 338 to 795 of the family's 1533-position model. The record is from RNAcentral.
CCUACGGGAGGCAGCAGUGAGGAAUAUUGGUCAAUGAACGAGAGUCUGAACCAGCCACGUAGCGUGAAGGAUGACUGCCCUCUGGGUUGUAAACUUCUUUUAUAUGGGAAUAAAAUGUUCCACGUGUGGGAUUUUGUAUGUACCAUAUGAAUAAGGAUAGGCUAACUCCGUUCCAGCAGCCGCGGUAAUACGGAGGAUCCGAGCGUUAUCCGGAUUUAUUGGGUUUAAAGGGAGCGUAGGUGGAUUGUUAAGUCAGUUGUGAAAGUUUGCGGCCCAACCGUAAAAUUGCAGUUGAAACUGGCAGACUUGAGUACAGUAGAGGUGGGCGGAAUUCGAGGUGUAGCGGUGAAAUGCUUAGAUAUCACGAAGAACUCCGAUUGCGAAGGCAGCUCACUGGACUGCAACUGACACUGAGGCUCGAAAGUGUGGGUAUCAAACAGGAUUAGAUACCCCUGUAGUC